GGCCCGCCACGUUUCUCUUUGUCUACAUGAAUGGUAUACGUCAGAUAGAGGUGCAACCGAGUCAAGUCAAAUUGAGUAGUUGGAAGCUUGAGCUCGAUCUGAUUCAAAAUACUAGAGCUCAAAAUUCGACUCGAGAUCGACCGAACCUUCGUAUCUCAAGAUCGAGCUCGACUUCAUUAUUUCAAUAGAUCUUGAUUUGGUUUCCUUCAGUUUCAAUAGUUCUC
This 224-nucleotide long non-coding RNA is filed under the name Elaeis guineensis (African oil palm). RNAcentral describes it as "long non-coding RNA (EGUI_LNC072640)". The record is from RNAcentral. Lineage: Eukaryota; Viridiplantae; Streptophyta; Magnoliopsida; Arecales; Arecaceae.